GUGGAUUAGAUACCCGGGUAGUCCACGCCGUAAACGAUGAAUACUAGGUGUCGGGCGUCAAAACUCGGUGCCGCAGCUAACGCAUUAAGUAUUCCGCCUGGGGAGUACGCACGCAAGUGUGAAACUCAAAGGAAUUGACGGGGACCCGCACAAGCAGCGGAGCAUGUGGUUUAAUUCGAAGCAACGCGAAGAACCUUACCAGGUCUUGACAUCUCUCUGAUCGACUCUUAGCCGAGUCUUCCCUUCGGGGCAGAGAUGACAGGUGGUGCACGGCCGUCGCCAGCU
This 285-nucleotide ribosomal RNA is filed under the name uncultured bacterium. RNAcentral describes it as "partial 16S ribosomal RNA". It matches the Rfam family "Bacterial small subunit ribosomal RNA", at positions 773 to 1060 of the family's 1533-position model. The record is from RNAcentral.